CGGGACGGGUGAGUAACGCGUGGGUAACCUGCCUCAUACAGGGGGAUAACAGUUAGAAAUGGCUGCUAAUACCGCAUAAGACCACAGUACCGCAUGGUACAGUGGUAAAAACUCCGGUGGUAUGAGAUGGACCCGCGUCUGAUUAGGUAGUUGGUGAGGUAACGGCCCACCAAGCCGACGAUCAGUAGCCGACCUGAGAGGGUGACCGGCCACAUUGGGACUGAGACACGGCCCAG
RNAcentral lists this ribosomal RNA (236 nucleotides) under uncultured bacterium. RNAcentral's name for it is "partial 16S ribosomal RNA". It matches the Rfam family "Bacterial small subunit ribosomal RNA", at positions 100 to 334 of the family's 1533-position model. The record is from RNAcentral.